RNAcentral lists this ribosomal RNA (253 nucleotides) under uncultured bacterium. Its description in RNAcentral is "partial 16S ribosomal RNA". It matches the Rfam family "Bacterial small subunit ribosomal RNA", at positions 524 to 776 of the family's 1533-position model. The record is from RNAcentral.
UACGAAGGGGGCUAGCGUUGUUCGGAUUUACUGGGCGUAAAGCGCACGUAGGCGGAUCGUUAAGUCGGGGGUGAAAUCCUGGAGCUCAACUCCAGAACUGCCUUCGAUACUGGCGAUCUUGAGUCCGGAAGAGGUGAGUGGAACUCCUAGUGUAGAGGUGGAAUUCGUAGAUAUUGAUGGGACAACCAAAGGCGAAGGCAGCUAUCGCGGACAUAACUGACGCUGACGUGCGAAGGUGUGGGGAGCAAAUGGG